Molecule: transfer RNA, 88 nt
Filed under: Gammaproteobacteria bacterium
Lineage: Bacteria; Pseudomonadati; Pseudomonadota; Gammaproteobacteria
Description: tRNA-Ser
Rfam family: tRNA
About the family: Transfer RNA (tRNA) molecules are approximately 80 nucleotides in length. Their secondary structure includes four short double-helical elements and three loops (D, anti-codon, and T loops). Further hydrogen bonds mediate the characteristic L-shaped molecular structure. tRNAs have two regions of fundamental functional importance: the anti-codon, which is responsible for specific mRNA codon recognition, and the 3' end, to which the tRNAs corresponding amino acid is attached (by aminoacyl-tRNA synthetases). tRNAs cope with the degeneracy of the genetic code in two manners: having more than one tRNA (with a specific anti-codon) for a particular amino acid; and 'wobble' base-pairing, i.e. permitting non-standard base-pairing at the 3rd anti-codon position.
Source: RNAcentral
GGAAGCGUGGCAGAGCGGUUGAAUGCAACGGUCUUGAAAACCGUCGAUGGGCGACCAUCCGUGGGUUCGAAUCCCACCCCUUCCGCCA